UACUUAACCCCAUGUGAUUCCAUGACACCCAGGUCUGCCUGAUGCCUUAAUACAGAGUCCUGCAGCCACUCUCAAGAUAAGACAAGCAGACACAGCUGGAGGGCACAACAACUGCAGCAUAUACAUGAGUCCAAACCAAAGGCGUAUCUUAAGAGUGAUUGAGGUUUGCAGCCGAAUUCAUCCAUAAUUUCAUAACAGCGUUGUAAACAUCAGGAAGAAGCAAACACAAGGUCCCAAAGAAGAGUGCCUAGAUCUGGAAGGUGAUUUGAAGCAGAAGGGUACAUGCUGCCUUGUAAGAAGCACUAUGGAAAGGCUGAAGUCUGGUAUUAACAUCUUUAAUCAUUCUUCUGAGGAAAUAUUCACAUUUAUUGCAUGACUUCUACUUGUUCUGUUUUUUUUCAAAAUCUAAUUUUGAAAAAAGGCAAACCAUUACAGAAUAGUAAAAAUAUUGCAAAAGAAAUAUAAGUGCGUAUUUUGUCUGCAUGUUUGUGUGUCUCCUCUAUCCCAGGUUCAUAUAUUAAAAUUCUAAUUCCCAAGGUGACAAUGUUAUGUGACUUUGAGAGGGGACCAAGAUAUGAGGCCUCAUAAUUGAUAUUAGUGCCCUUAGGAAAUAGUCCCUAGGGGGCUAAUGAUGUCCUUCCAUCAUGUGAAGGUACAGUUAGAAGUCUCCAUCUAUGAAGUAAAAUUCAGGUUCUCGCUAGAUGUUGAAUCUACCAGUAUCUUGCUUUUGAUGCUUAAGUUUCUCUGAAACUGUAAAAAAGUUCUGUUGUUUGUAAACCACCGGUUUAUAUUUUGUAAUAGCAAUGUGAACUAAGAGAGUGGUUUAGUGUGAACAGCGAGACUUUUUAUAUAUAUGAAUAGCAAGCUUUUUAUAUAUGUGAAAUCCAACAAUUACAUAAGAUUAUUAAAUUUCCCAAGAAGAGGCAUCCAUCUUUUUAACAAAUAUUUAUUAAUGAUAAAUAAUGAUUUAUUAUUUAUUUAACACCCAUUUCCUAGAUAUAUUGGGUAGAGAGCAAUAUGGACAUGAUCUUUGGGUCCUUAGGAGUUUAGAGUCUAAUGGAGAGAGACUGACAAUACAUAAAUUGAAAAAGAAUCAAUAUCAUAAAAAUGCCCAUACUAUUGAAAGCAAUUCACAGAUUCAAUGAGAUCCCAGUCAAGAUACUAUGUUCUCAAAUCUAGAGCAAAACGAUGCAGAAAUUCAUAUGAAAACACAAUAUAUUCAAAACAGCGAAAGCAAACUUAUGCAACAAAAACAAGCAUGGAAGCAUCAUAAUACCCAAAUUCAAGAUAUACUACAGGGAAGUUAUAAUCAAAACAGCCUGGAAGUGGCAUAAAGACAGACAUGUAGACCAAUGGAAUAGAAUAGAAACUCCAGAAAUCAAUCCACACAUCUACAAACUUGACCUUUACAAAGGAGCUAAAAUCAAUCCCUGGAGCACAGACUUCAACAAAUGGUGCUGGGAAAACUGGAUCUCAGCAUGCAGAAGUAUGAAACAAGACCCCUGCAUUACACCUUAAACAAAUAUCUACUCAAAAUCAAUCAAAAACCUAAAUCUACAAUCCAGUACCAUUAAAUGACUAGAUAACAUUGGAGAAACCCUGCAAGACUUGGCAUAGGCAAAGACUUGUUAGAAAAGACUCCAGAAACACAGGCAAUCAAAGCCAAAAUUGACAAAUUGUCUUACAUCAAGCGGAGAAGCUUCUGCACUGCAAAAGAAACACUCAGCGAAGUGAAGAGGCAACCAACAGCGUGAGAGAAAAUAUUAGCAAACUACGCAACUGUUAAAGGGUUAACAUCCAAAAUUUAUAAAGAGUUCAAGAAAUUUAACAACAACAAAACAAGCAAUCUACUUAAGAAAUGGGUAAUGGACUUCAACAGGCAGUUUUCAAGGGAGGAAAUUCAAAUGGCUAACAGACAUUUGAGAAAAUAUUCAGGAUCACUAACUAUCAGGGAAAUCCAAAUCAAAACCAUGAUGAGAUUUCACCUCACUCCAGUUAGAAUGGCUCUCAUACAGAAAUCAAUGAAUAACAAAUGGUGGUAAGCAUAUGAAGAAAAAGAUACCCUUAUCCAUUCUUGGAAGGAAUGUAAAAUGGUGAAGACACUGUGGAAGACAGUAUGGAGAUACCUUAUAAAUUUGAAUAUAGACCUACCAUAUAAUCCAGUCAACCCACCCCUGGGAAUUUAUCCAAACCAAAGACAUCAGCAUAUGAAAGAAUUAUCUGUACACCCAUGUUCAUUGAAGUUCAGUUCAUAAUAGCUAAAACAUGGAAUCAACCAAGAUAUCCAUCAGCUGAUGACUGGAUAAAGAAAUUAUGGUAUGUAUACACUAUGGAGUACUACUUAGCUGUAAAAAAUGAGAUUCUUUUUUUUUUUUAACAACAAAAUGGAUGUAACUGAGAACUUAGUGAAAUAAGCCAGCCUCAAAAUGAGAUGCACCAUUUGUUUUCCCUGAUCUAUGGUAACUAAUAGAGUACCUAAAAUGUAAUGUAUUGGAGUAAAAAGGACACUUUGAAAUGUGAUGAUUGUUUCCUGUUCUUGUCUCUACAGUUGAGGAACAGUGUUUUUUUCCUCACACUAUUUGUUGAACUCUUUACUUAGUGUAGGGUUAACUUUAUGAAUAUAAAGUAAACUGAAAAUAGGUCUUUGUAAAAAUUAAGAAAGAUAAUAGGAGUGGCAGGUGGGAGAAGGAUGGCAGUAUGG
Molecule: non-coding RNA, 2701 nt
Organism: Oryctolagus cuniculus (rabbit)
Lineage: Eukaryota; Metazoa; Chordata; Mammalia; Lagomorpha; Leporidae
Source: RefSeq, a predicted model, not a curated record